AGUCUGGCGUCAUUGAAACGAUGUCCGACGCGAUGUAAACUAUGGAUCACGCAUAUAUUAAGUCAACAGAAAGGACACCUGGUUUCCAGGUAAUAAAAUACAGAUCUGGGCCAGAUCAUACAUAUUUCAGUUCCCGUACGCCGCCGAGGCUUACCCCUCAAAAACGGGGAUCGAAAAGAUUGCUAUCCACGCCAUAAGGGACAACACGAAAACAGGAGAGCAAAAGAAUUGAACUGGAUGAAAGACUGAAGCACAACAGGUGGUCACUAGUAGAAAAAUCUUUUCUGACAGAGUACAAUCAAAGGCCAAGACAGGAAGGUGAAUCGGAAAACAGUUUUUGGGACAGUUGCGCAAAAAAUAUGAAUGCAAAGUUUGGUGGAAAAAUAGAAAUGCUCCAUCUCCAGUUCCCCAGAAAAAGUUGGUGAGUUUACAGAACUACUAGAACUGCCAGAGACAAGCGGAAACAAUGUGGGAACACAGACUGAUUUGUCUUUUCCUAUUAAUAGGUAAGAAACAUUGAAAAUAUAUAU
Molecule: long non-coding RNA, 530 nt
Organism: Dreissena polymorpha
Lineage: Eukaryota; Metazoa; Mollusca; Bivalvia; Myida; Dreissenidae
Exons: 4
Source: RefSeq, a predicted model, not a curated record